UUAAGUUAUUAAGGGCGCACGGUGGAUGCCUUGGCACUAGAAGCCGAUGAAGGACGUUACUAACGACGAUAUGCUUUGGGGAGCUGUAAGUAAGCUUUGAUCCAGAGAUUUCCGAAUGGGGAAACCCAGCAUGAGUUAUGUCAUGUUAUCGAUAUGUGAAUACAUAGCAUAUCAGAAGGCACACCCGGAGAACUGAAACAUCUUAGUACCCGGAGGAAGAGAAAGAAAAUUCGAUUCCCUUAGUAGCGGCGAGCGAAACGGGAAGAGCCCAAACCAACAAGCUUGCUUGUUGGGGUUGUAGGACACUCUAUACGGAGUUACAAAGGACGACAUUAGACGAAUCAUCUGGAAAGAUGAAUCAAAGAAGGUAAUAAUCCUGUAGUCGAAAAUGUUGUCUCUCUUGAGUGGAUCCUGAGUACGACGGAGCACGUGAAAUUCCGUCGGAAUCUGGGAGGACCAUCUCCUAAGGCUAAAUACUCUCUAGUGACCGAUAGUGAACCAGUACCGUGAGGGAAAGGUGAAAAGCACCCCGGAAGGGGAGUGAAAUAGAACCUGAAACCGUGUGCUUACAAGUAGUCAGAGCCCGUUAAUGGGUGAUGGCGUGCCUUUUGUAGAAUGAACCGGCGAGUUACGAUUUGAUGCAAGGUUAAGCAGUAAAUGUGGAGCCGUAGCGAAAGCGAGUCUGAAUAGGGCGUUUAGUAUUUGGUCGUAGACCCGAAACCAGGUGAUCUACCCUUGGUCAGGUUGAAGUUCAGGUAACACUGAAUGGAGGACCGAACCGACUUACGUUGAAAAGUGAGCGGAUGAACUGAGGGUAGCGGAGAAAUUCCAAUCGAACCUGGAGAUAGCUGGUUCUCUCCGAAAUAGCUUUAGGGCUAGCCUCAAGUGAUGAUUAUUGGAGGUAGAGCACUGUUUGGACGAGGGGCCCCUCUCGGGUUACCGAAUUCAGACAAACUCCGAAUGCCAAUUAAUUUAACUUGGGAGUCAGAACAUGGGUGAUAAGGUCCGUGUUCGAAAGGGAAACAGCCCAGACCACCAGCUAAGGUCCCAAAAUAUAUGUUAAGUGGAAAAGGAUGUGGCGUUGCCCAGACAACUAGGAUGUUGGCUUAGAAGCAGCCAUCAUUUAAAGAGUGCGUAAUAGCUCACUAGUCGAGUGACACUGCGCCGAAAAUGUACCGGGGCUAAACAUAUUACCGAAGCUGUGGAUUGUCCUUUGGACAAUGGUAGGAGAGCGUUCUAAGGGCGUUGAAGCAUGAUCGUAAGGACAUGUGGAGCGCUUAGAAGUGAGAAUGCCGGUGUGAGUAGCGAAAGACGGGUGAGAAUCCCGUCCACCGAUUGACUAAGGUUUCCAGAGGAAGGCUCGUCCGCUCUGGGUUAGUCGGGUCCUAAGCUGAGGCCGACAGGCGUAGGCGAUGGAUAACAGGUUGAUAUUCCUGUACCACCUAUAAUCGUUUUAAUCGAUGGGGGGACGCAGUAGGAUAGGCGAAGCGUGCGAUUGGAUUGCACGUCUAAGCAGUAAGGCUGAGUAUUAGGCAAAUCCGGUACUCGUUAAGGCUGAGCUGUGAUGGGGAGAAGACAUUGUGUCUUCGAGUCGUUGAUUUCACACUGCCGAGAAAAGCCUCUAGAUAGAAAAUAGGUGCCCGUACCGCAAACCGACACAGGUAGUCAAGAUGAGAAUUCUAAGGUGAGCGAGCGAACUCUCGUUAAGGAACUCGGCAAAAUGACCCCGUAACUUCGGGAGAAGGGGUGCUCUUUAGGGUUAACGCCCAGAAGAGCCGCAGUGAAUAGGCCCAAGCGACUGUUUAUCAAAAACACAGGUCUCUGCUAAACCGUAAGGUGAUGUAUAGGGGCUGACGCCUGCCCGGUGCUGGAAGGUUAAGAGGAGUGGUUAGCUUCUGCGAAGCUACGAAUCGAAGCCCCAGUAAACGGCGGCCGUAACUAUAACGGUCCUAAGGUAGCGAAAUUCCUUGUCGGGUAAGUUCCGACCCGCACGAAAGGCGUAACGAUUUGGGCACUGUCUCAACGAGAGACUCGGUGAAAUCAUAGUACCUGUGAAGAUGCAGGUUACCCGCGACAGGACGGAAAGACCCCAUGGAGCUUUACUGUAGCCUGAUAUUGAAAUUCGGCACAGCUUGUACAGGAUAGGUAGGAGCCUUUGAAACGUGAGCGCUAGCUUACGUGGAGGCGCUGGUGGGAUACUACCCUAGCUGUGUUGGCUUUCUAACCCGCACCACUUAUCGUGGUGGGAGACAGUGUCAGGCGGGCAGUUUGACUGGGGCGGUCGCCUCCUAAAAGGUAACGGAGGCGCUCAAAGGUUCCCUCAGAAUGGUUGGAAAUCAUUCAUAGAGUGUAAAGGCAUAAGGGAGCUUGACUGCGAGACCUACAAGUCGAGCAGGGUCGAAAGACGGACUUAGUGAUCCGGUGGUUCCGCAUGGAAGGGCCAUCGCUCAACGGAUAAAAGCUACCCCGGGGAUAACAGGCUUAUCUCCCCCAAGAGUUCACAUCGACGGGGAGGUUUGGCACCUCGAUGUCGGCUCAUCGCAUCCUGGGGCUGUAGUCGGUCCCAAGGGUUGGGCUGUUCGCCCAUUAAAGCGGUACGCGAGCUGGGUUCAGAACGUCGUGAGACAGUUCGGUCCCUAUCCGUCGUGGGCGUAGGAAAUUUGAGAGGAGCUGUCCUUAGUACGAGAGGACCGGGAUGGACAUACCUCUGGUGUACCAGUUGUCGUGCCAACGGCAUAGCUGGGUAGCUAUGUGUGGACGGGAUAAGUGCUGAAAGCAUCUAAGCAUGAAGCCCCCCUCAAGAUGAGAUUUCCCAACUUCGGUUAUAAGAUCCCUCAAAGAUGAUGAGGUUAAUAGGUUCGAGGUGGAAGCAUGGUGACAUGUGGAGCUGACGAAUACUAAUCGAUCGAAGACUUAAUC
Molecule: ribosomal RNA, 2919 nt
Filed under: Staphylococcus aureus
Lineage: Bacteria; Bacillati; Bacillota; Bacilli; Caryophanales; Staphylococcaceae
Description: 23S ribosomal RNA
Rfam family: Bacterial large subunit ribosomal RNA
Source: RNAcentral